CCUACGGGCGGCAGCAGUGAGGAAUAUUGGUCAAUGGGCGCGAGCCUGAACCAGCCAAGUCGCGUGAGGGAAGACGGUCCUAUGGAUUGUAAACCUCUUUUGUCGGGGAGCAAAAGACGCCACGCGUGGUGUUCCGAGAGUACCCGAAGAAAAAGCAUCGGCUAACUCCGUGCCAGCAGCCGCGGUAAUACGGAGGAUGCGAGCGUUAUCCGGAUGUAUUGGGUUAAAAGGGUGCGCAGGCGGAAGAGCAAGUCAGCGGUAAAAUUGAGAGGCUCAACCUCUUCGAGCCGUUGAAACUGGUUUUCUUGAGUGAGCGAGAAGUAUGCGGAAUGCGUGGUGUAGCGGUGAAAUGCAUAGAUAUCACGCAGAACUCCGAUUGCGAAGGCAGCAUACCGGCGCUCAACUGACGCUCAUGCACGAAAGUGUGGGUAUCGAACAGGAUUAGAUACCCCAGUAGUC
Molecule: ribosomal RNA, 459 nt
Filed under: uncultured bacterium
Lineage: Bacteria
Description: partial 16S ribosomal RNA
Rfam family: Bacterial small subunit ribosomal RNA
Source: RNAcentral